RNAcentral lists this ribosomal RNA (269 nucleotides) under uncultured prokaryote. Its description in RNAcentral is "partial 16S ribosomal RNA". It matches the Rfam family "Bacterial small subunit ribosomal RNA", at positions 524 to 792 of the family's 1533-position model. The record is from RNAcentral.
UAUGGAGGAUCCGAGCGUUAUCCGGAUUUAUUGGGUUUAAAGGGUGCUCAGGCGGGCCAUUAAGUCGGCGGUGAAAUUUUGCGGCUCAACCGUAAAAGUGCCUUCGAUACUGGUGGUCUUGAGUGUGGAUGAGGUAGGCGGAAUUUGUGGUGUAGCGGUGAAAUGCAUAGAUAUCACGAGGAACUCCGAUUGCUAAGGCAGCUUACUAAGCCAUAACUGACGCUCAAGCACGAAGGCGUGGGGAUCAAACAGGAUUAGAUACCCCGGUA